AAGAGCCUGAAAAUUUCUCUAAAUGCUUCACUUUUUUUUUUUUGCCCCAGACAGCAGCUGAAACCUAAGGGUUUCAACCCAACCCUUAAAAAAAUUACCUUCAAUCAGCUCAGGCCCAUAAUCUUUGCUUUGCCACUCUCUUUGAACAGGCAGACACUUACAGACAGCUCUUCUGUCACAGGGUGACAGAGUGACAGGGUUCUGCUCCUUCACAUUCCCCAGAAUAAGCCUGUGUGUGCAGAACUGGACACCACCCUGCUGUAAAAACUGUGCACCACCAACAUGCCCCUUCCAGAGACAGCCUGAGGAAAGACCCAGUCAGAAAGUUUGCAAGGGGUGGAGAGGACGAGCAGUGGCCGACCUCAGGGCCAGGGGACCUGUUGGAGCUGUGGCAGGAUGAGCAACACCCUGGGAUGGCCAAUGGAGAGAAUCCCGUGGCUGUGCUGGACCCAGG
RNAcentral lists this long non-coding RNA (454 nucleotides) under Parus major (Great Tit). RNAcentral's name for it is "lncRNA (ENSPMJG00000002767.1)". The record is from RNAcentral. Lineage: Eukaryota; Metazoa; Chordata; Aves; Passeriformes; Paridae.